GACGAACGCUAGCGGCGUGCCUAAGAAAUGCAAGUCGAGCGAAGUUAGAGAGCUUGCUCUCGAAGCUUAGCGGCGAACGGUCGCGUAACACGUAAGGAACCUGCCCCGAAGUGUGGGAUAGCCCCGGGAAACUGGGAGUAAUACCUCAUGUGGUCCAUCAUUGGCAUCUUUGGUGGUCUAAAGCAGCGAUGCGCUUCGGGAUGGUCUUGCGGCCUAUCAGCUAGUUGGUGUGGUAAUGGCUCACCAAGGCGACGAUGGGUAGCUGGUCUGAGAGGAUGAUCAGCCACACUGGAACUGCGACACGGUCCAGACUCCUACGGGUGGCUG
This 327-nucleotide ribosomal RNA is filed under the name uncultured Armatimonadota bacterium. Its description in RNAcentral is "bacterial SSU rRNA". It matches the Rfam family "Bacterial small subunit ribosomal RNA", at positions 28 to 351 of the family's 1533-position model. Lineage: Bacteria; Bacillati; Armatimonadota. The record is from RNAcentral.